RNAcentral lists this ribosomal RNA (426 nucleotides) under Triticum aestivum (bread wheat). RNAcentral describes it as "partial small subunit ribosomal RNA". The record is from RNAcentral. Lineage: Eukaryota; Viridiplantae; Streptophyta; Magnoliopsida; Poales; Poaceae.
AUGAUGCCUCUAUUCAAGCCUAUGGUUUUAGCAAAGGAUAAGAAAGUGAACCACUUUUCCUUAUAUGUCAUGAAUCGGUACCGAUGUAGCGUGGACAUGCUUGACUCUUUACCUUAUCCGAAGAACCAGUGUCCUUCAAAGAACACCUAUCAUAAAGACUGCGAGAAGAUUUACAAUGCGAGCAAGCAGCCCAAAUGGGAGCUUUUUGCAAAGAAACCAACGUUUGUGAAGGUUCCACUUCAAGGGGCGAAUGAAUGUGGCCAUUAUACUCUGAAGUAUGCAGAAUCCUAUGAUGGUGAAAAGAUCGUUGGGAACAUUCGAGAUAAUGAUCCUCGUAUUGUUGAUUGGAAUGCUGAGGAUCUGUAUAGAGUUGUGUUCAACCGGAAUAACCAGCUUCUGGUGAUGGAGCUUCGCAAGGAGUUUUAG